UUGCCAUAACAAUAAUAAGAUUAAUCAUAUAUUCCCGAUUGUUGUCUUAGAUUCAAUAGAUUGUUGUCUUAUUGUCUAAGAGUCCAAACAAUACAUUUUUCCAAUGCUAGUGUAACCGAUGUCUUUCUGCGUUGUGUCUUGUAUCUUCGAAUGAGGCACACACAGGAGUCGAGUACUAGAGGUUUAUUCUUUCCAAAGGAGACAAAACAACACGGGCGUCACACACAAUCCGGGAUAUCACUCUCCACUCUACAAAACAAAGGAAGCAAACAAUUGACCACACAUACCGGAUAAAACAACCGCAUUUGAAAUAUCAAGGCGGGAAAAAACUAAGCUACCACCGGCUCAAGCUAGGUUACGAGUUAAUCAAAAUCCACCCUUCCAACAGUUCAAUUAAAUUGUCUAAAGCACCAGAGUUUCUCCCGCGUGCCUAAAAGCACGUCACAAAGCAGUGUGAACCACCACAGCCGUUCAAGGGCAACAAACAAGGGGUUAACAUAAAAAUCUAACGGAGAGAGACACAAACGGAACUCACCAGCUCCGUGCAUCAGCGCUCACUGACGCUAGACACACAGGUGCAACGCCAAACCACUCCCCCGGGAAACAAAAGGCAUGCCAUACGGAACAACGAAAUCAACUUACAACUAGGAACCAAUAUUUGGUGGAGUUCACAAUAAAAAAGGUAUGAACAAUGAUAAAAAAAUAACACAAAAUAAAAUUAAAUUUAGCUCGGCUACACUAGUAAGAGGCUUGUGACUUUGGCCGUUUGCUUUUAAUGUGAAAUCAGACAGGAAGUCAAAUGUACCUUCAGGUUCAACCCAUAGACAUAAUAAAGGUUCAACCUCAGCCUGGAAGAAGAGCCUUUUAUCUCUCUGAAACCGUCGAAUUCGAUGCAUAUUAAGGAUUUACCCGGAGCAAGUGGCGUGUACCGUAAGUAUUCAACAUUUGUCUUGAAAUAUUGCGUAAUAUAGCAUCAUGUAGUCGUUUAUUUAUGUUUUAAAACGGUCUGCUUGUUGACUGCUAGCCAAACGCACAUGUUACAUUAGUUAGUUAGCAUUAGCAUCCGCAGCAUUAGCAUCCGCAGCCUGCGGCAGAGCCCUGUCUACUCAUCUACUAUGAGUAGACAGGGCUCAGGUGCUGGCUUUUCAGGGUGUUUCAGCUGGUUGCAGCUAUAGAAUGUUAUAAGAAUAGAAUGUAGAAAAUGCUUAACAUCUAGCAAAAUGUAAAUGUGUUAUUCAGCUACCAACUUUGAAUGCAUCUGAUGUACCGGUAGUAUGAUUUAACUAAAACUGAAGUCAAAUCGAUCUCACUUUUUUAUUUCUCUGCAGUUUGAAAUGCCACAUAGAAUCAGUCCCCUCACAGAUGUCACCAUGUCGGUUUAAAGACUGACAAUACAUGGAAACUGGAGGUGAAGUACAUCAAUGCAGUAAAAGGGCGUGGGGUGUUCGCCAUAGGUUCAUUCUCCAAAGGAGAUUUUAUAGUGGAAUGCAGGGGAGAUUUGAUAAGCGAUGGUGAAGCUCAAAAGAGAAGAAGAAAUUAUAACCCUGCAUGUUCUGGAUUUUUGUUCGCGUUCAAGUUGGGAGGCAAAACAUGGUGCAUUGACGCCUCUAGAGAAGAUGGUUCCUUCGGCCGCUUGGUGAACGAUGACCACAGACAUCCCAAUGCCAGGAUGAAGAGAAUAGACAUUGCAGGAAGCACACACCUCUGUCUCUUUGCUCUCCAAGACAUAAAAGAAGGUGAAGAAAUUGCAUAUAAUUAUGGAGGAGAGGACUGCCCAAGCAGGUACGUGUUACAACUAGUGUUAAGGUAUAUACAAUUCAAGAAUGUCUUGGAAUAACUUAAUGAUUGAUGGUAUCUUUUCUUUGAAACUAUAUAAAUCAAUUUCAAUAAAUGAUCAUUUUUUCUAUUGUAUAUUAAAACAUUGGAUAUUCAGGAGGCAUCUGAAUCAGGGCCAAAUGUCACUGUAGUCUGGGACGUUCCCGACGUCCCCACAAUACAUCUUGUAUGGUUUUGUUUCAGUGAAACUUUAUGUUAAGUAUCUGAUAAAGGAGAACGUACAGGUGUGCGAAAUGUCCCUACUCAACACAGUUAAUUCAACAUGUGUGAAAUGUCCCCACGAGGCAUAGUCUAUGUGACAGCAGACAGGUUGACAAAGCAGGACAAAAUAUGACCAUAGAAUCCUUUCUCGCUAGUUUGGUGUGUGGGGAUGUAUUUGACCCAAGAGACAUGUCCUUUAGAAAAUGUAUUAAAAUAAUAUAAUAUUAUGCAGUGUUUACAUGAAAUUGACUGAUUUACUUUUUGUAUCAAAUUGCAGAUGACUACAUGUGAACCUGAGACGUCCUGUGUGAGCUCCCAGUCUGUGCUCAUGUCAGAGCCACAGUGGGAUGAAGCUGCCUGGUUAGAGGACACUGGUCACCAGAUGACUACAUGUGAACCUGACACACCCUGUGUGAGCUCCCAGUCUGUGCUCAUGUCAGAGCGACAAUGGGAUGAAGCUGCCUGGUUAGAGGACACUGGUCAACAGAAGAGGAAACUGUUGGAGGCACGGAGGGGGAAUAAAAUCCCAGCAAAACAGAGACGCAAACUGCCACCAGCAGAAGAUGGAGCAUCUUCUACAGUCUGUGCUGUGAGCCAUGUUCUUCCAAAGGCUGCAGGAAUCGGUCUGUUUCUUUUCUUUGUAAACUGACUCGAUUGCAGCUUUUCUGCACCACCGCCUGGUCUCGUCUGCUUUCUAGGUGAGGCGUAGUUCCUCUUGCGUGUUUCAACUAACCUAUUUGUUUGUCCCUGUGAUGACGUUAAUUUUCAUGGCUACUUGGAUGCAUGUUAAUGCAGGAGUCAACCAACAGACUGAGAGCGGAACACUCCAAUCAAUCAUUUUUUUUAUAGCACCUUUCAUAAAGUUAGUGCAGUUCAAAGUGCUUCACAGAUGGCUGAGAAAGCAGAUAAUAGGACAUAUAUUAAUUGAAGAUGAAAGAAAGAUUGCAGACAAAAGAAUUAUGACAAGAAAAUAAAAAUGUUAAAUAAGAAAAAGAAAGCUGCCAUAAUAUCGAAGACAUAAUGCUACUGUUGCUAAAAAACAAAAAUAAGGAAUUAAUAUUAUAGUCUCUAAAUGAAAGUGUGUGGCAUGUAAUACAAUAAAAAGUUUUUAGUUGACACUUUACAAUAAGGUGUACUAAUGAGCAGAUCACUGAGGAUUGUUGAUGCAGGACAUGAAACUUAUAGGAACUGUAUCUCCUUCCUGAUACUUUCAUGUAAACAUCUGUUUUUCUACUCAUUUACAGGAAAGGCUCCACUCAAAAGGGAACCAUGGCAGCCAGCAGAGAUAAAGGCCGUCGAGAGGCACAUAAAGGCUUAAGUUUAAUACAUGCUUGCACUGUGCCAAAAAUGUCUAACUAAACAAAAUCUGUAGGUGGCGAAGAAGUUAAAGCUGCGUCACGCUUUGAACUAAACACUUUUUCCAUCUAGUGUUGACUGGGUUUUUGGAUUGUCGGUGCCAUUAAAGUAGCAUUAAUAAUCGUCGUAAUAAUCCUAACGAUUAUUAAUGCUACUUUAACGGCAUAGACAUUCCAAAAACCCAGUCGACACUAGAUGGAAAAAGUGUAUAGAACAAAACGUGAUGCAGCUUCCCUUUUUUUCUUCGCAACCUACAGACUUUGUUAUGUACGAUUAUUCAAACACGCCAUGUUAUUUAAUAUAGACAUUUGACCGAGGGAACCGGAGCCUCAGAGGUCGAACUUAUUCUCUCGAGGUCUAUGUGACUUCCAUUUAUAUUGUGACUAUUCUGUAUCUUGAUGCCUCUUCCUGGCCCACAAGGAUACACCAGCAGGUUCUGACAUGUAUUAACCGCACUCUGAUGGCUCGAGUCUGUGCGUGAUGUGUGUCUAUGCUAAUGUGUGUAUGUGCUGGUAUACUUUAAAAUAAAGUAUCAAUGCAUCUAAUUCUCCAUCCGUCUCUGGUGCUAUUUACUGUGGACCCACACCUGUUUGGGAGAUCCCUCCCAUGUGUGAGGGUGGCAUCGAUGGUGUUGGUAAAAUAAAAACCCAUACACACACAUAGUGCACGGUAAUAUCAUGAAAUAAGUUGGUAUCACGCCACAUAUAGAUGGUGGAUGGCCAAGAGGAACAUUUGCAGAGGGCAUGGCCGCCCCUGGUUCCAGGGGCUCUCGGAAAUUGAGAGGUUAAAACACCUUGGCCCUCGGGCUAUACUCUACAAUUUUCAUUGUUUUAUGUACAAUCAGGUCCCCAUUAGUCACCAAAUAAUCUGUGUGAAAUAUUCUAAUUUAUGUAAAUUAUGUCCCCUGAAAGCAUGUUUACUGGUUCUUCCGGAAGUCCCCAUAAAGCCUGGUUAAACCAUCACUUCAUCAUUUCAGAGUUUUGAAGUUGUGUAUAGGUUAACUAAGCUAUGGCAAGUUUACUGAAUUUUUUUCAGCUCUCUACAACCUCUGGAAAGGGUGGUCCUCACAAGUGAUGA
Gadus chalcogrammus (walleye pollock) is the source of this 4470-nucleotide long non-coding RNA. RefSeq lists it as uncharacterized. The transcript has 6 exons. NCBI's taxonomy places the organism in Eukaryota, Metazoa, Chordata, Actinopteri, Gadiformes, Gadidae. The record is from RefSeq and is a predicted model, not a curated record.